CCUGGCUCAGAUUGAACGCUGGCGGCAUGCCUAACACAUGCAAGUCGAACGGCAGCACGGUCUAGUUUACUAGAUGGGUGGCGAGUGGCGGACGGGUGAGUAAUGCGCAGGAAUAUGCCUUAAAGCGGGGGACAACUUGGGGAAACUCAAGCUAAUACCGCGUAAUCUCUUCGGAGAAAAGCUGGGGACCUUCGGGCCUGGCGCUUUAAGAUUAGCCU
RNAcentral lists this ribosomal RNA (218 nucleotides) under uncultured bacterium. RNAcentral's name for it is "partial 16S ribosomal RNA". It matches the Rfam family "Bacterial small subunit ribosomal RNA", at positions 18 to 232 of the family's 1533-position model. The record is from RNAcentral.